Long non-coding RNA from Anthonomus grandis grandis, 440 nucleotides. RefSeq lists it as uncharacterized. NCBI's taxonomy places the organism in Eukaryota, Metazoa, Arthropoda, Insecta, Coleoptera, Curculionidae. The transcript has 3 exons. The record is from RefSeq and is a predicted model, not a curated record.
UAUUCGCUGUAGUUCGCCUUAUCUUUAUCACAGAAAUAAUUGAACAAAAACAUUCGAUUGCGGGCAAAGUCUAGCCAACAGUCAACAAAACAAAACGUCAAAUGAGCGAUUAGAAUAGGUCUAUGUUUGUACGGUUAUAUACGGGUUACGAGGAGAGUGAGAAAGCAAGAUAAUUUAUUAAUUAUAGGGCAGAAUGAAGGAAUUGGCGCUGCUUAGGUAACUGCGAUCAAAUCGCUGCCAAAUUUCAUAAUUUGCCAUUACGAUUACAGCCCAAUCGUCCGAGAGUCCUAACUCGAUGUUUAUUUAAAUGUUUUACGAGACAGUCGAUCGCCUAAUUACGUACUGAAGUUGAAGAAAAUUUGAAAUCAAUAUGGUCGCUCUCUAAUUAAUGGAGGUCUUUUACACUUUCGGCACUCCGCACAACGCAGCAUUCAUUCAUA